This 253-nucleotide ribosomal RNA is filed under the name uncultured bacterium. Its description in RNAcentral is "partial 16S ribosomal RNA". It matches the Rfam family "Bacterial small subunit ribosomal RNA", at positions 524 to 776 of the family's 1533-position model. The record is from RNAcentral.
UACGGAGGGUGCGAGCGUUGCUCGGAAUCACUGGGCGUAAAGCGCGUGUAGGCGGCCUUCUAAGUUCGGUGUGAAAGCCCGGGGCUCACCCCCGGAAGUGCACCGGAUACUGGAAGGCUAGAGUACCGGAGAGGAAGGUGGAAUUCCUGGUGUAGCGGUGAAAUGCGUAGAUAUCAGGAGGAACACCGGUGGCGAAGGCGGCCUUCUGGACGGAUACUGACGCUGAGACGCGAAAGCGUGGGGAGCAAACAGG